RNAcentral lists this long non-coding RNA (320 nucleotides) under Geospiza fortis (medium ground-finch). RNAcentral describes it as "lncRNA (ENSGFOG00000001531.1)". Lineage: Eukaryota; Metazoa; Chordata; Aves; Passeriformes; Thraupidae. The record is from RNAcentral.
UUAAAGCCUUUAUUUAUUUCUCUUUCUUUUUUUUUCUCCCUAAGCUGUACAGGAAGGCAAAACCAAAGCACCUUUAUGUGUGAAUUCUGAGAGGCUGAAAAAUCUUUUUGCAGCAUUUACCAGUUGAGUUUAUUUGAUUGCACUUGGAAAGCAAGUCAAGGUGGCAGUCAGCAUGGAUAGCACUGUGAGAAAACUGAACCACGCUCAAAACGUCAAGAAAAGAGAAACAGCUGAGAUUCUAGAAGAUAUCUGAAAGACGUGGUAGCUGCUAAAAAGAAUUAUUUCACUGCAAGCUCUGUGAGGCAGCAUAGCUGGGAGGA